Molecule: ribosomal RNA, 484 nt
Filed under: uncultured bacterium
Lineage: Bacteria
Description: bacterial SSU rRNA
Rfam family: Bacterial small subunit ribosomal RNA
Source: RNAcentral
AUUGAACGCUGGCGGCAUGCCUUACACAUGCAAGUCGAACGGCAGCACGGGAGCAAUCCUGGUGGCGAGUGGCGAACGGGUGAGUAAUAUAUCGGAACGUGCCCAGUCGUGGGGGAUAACGUAGCGAAAGCUACGCUAAUACCGCAUACGAUCUACGGAUGAAAGCGGGGGAUCGCAAGACCUCGCGCGAUUGGAGCGGCCGAUAUCAGAUUAGCUAGUUGGUGGGGUAAAAGCUCACCAAGGCGACGAUCUGUAGCUGGUCUGAGAGGACGACCAGCCACACUGGAACUGAGACACGGUCCAGACUCCUACGGGAGGCAGCAGUGGGGAAUUUUGGACAAUGGGCGCAAGCCUGAUCCAGCAAUGCCGCGUGCAGGAUGAAGGCCUUCGGGUUGUAAACUGCUUUUGUACGGAGCGAAACGGUGAGCUCUAAUAAAGCUUGCUAAUGACGGUACCGUAAGAAUAAGCACCGGCUAACUACGUG